This is a non-coding RNA of Microcebus murinus (gray mouse lemur), 1194 nucleotides long. The record is from RefSeq and is a predicted model, not a curated record. NCBI's taxonomy places the organism in Eukaryota, Metazoa, Chordata, Mammalia, Primates, Cheirogaleidae.
CCGAGUUGUGGGCCAUGAGGCUGAAGCACAGGACCACGCAGCACCACUCCUGGAAGCGCUUGCCUGCAGGGAGCAGAGGGGAGAGGUGAGUGUGGGCGGGUGGAAAAGGCCGGGGGACCAACGCCAGGCAGAGCUGGGACCCCAUGGGGCUCUCAACUGUGUUCUGCAAGUCUACCUGCAGGGCUAACCACAACCUGCCCAUUUCACAGAUCACAUCGCUGCGGCCCAGAGAAGGGGAAAGGCCUGCCCAAGGUCAUACAGUCAAGGGUGGAUGCCUUAAACGGAGCGUGGGACCCUUCAGAGAGCAGGCCGAUGUGGCCAGGUCCCAUGCCCAUGAGGCUGGCCCCGUAUAGACCAGUUCUUUGGCAGACGGGACCAGAACUCUGGUCUCCCAGGCCCAUCUGCGUUCUCUCUGGAGACACCUGAGGGAACUUUAAUAAGCUUCUUUUUAAAAAACUGGAAUCUUCAUGGCAUCACCAAUCCCCUUCUGCAGGUAAUCAUUUGAGGGUAGAGAUCUAUAAACAGCCGUUAAUCCCGGAGGCUCAGACCCUGCCUGACCUCCAUCAAGCAGACUCCAGGCAUCGCGUCAGGACAAACAGGGCCCUGGGGGCAGCGGGGCUCCUAGCAGGGGGCUGCCAUGGGUCAGACUGUGCAAGGCGGGAGUGUGGGCCAGGGAGGCCAGAGCGUCUGAAUCUCAGGAGGAGCCAGACAUCAGGUUUUGAGUGCAAACUCUCCUAUUUAAACGUUGCCACCUAUUUUUCUUUUCCAGGUAACAAAGCUAAGAGAGCCACGUAUUUUUAACAGGCACGUGCGCACGGACAAGCCGAUUCACACGGGAAUAACCUGAGUGUCCAUCACCUGGGGACUGGCCAAAUUAAGGCAUCUCUGCAGGUAGGACAAAGCCCGGGCAGACGUCUACGUGUGCACACCAGGAGAUGCCCAUGAUUAACAGCUGGCUGGUCUGACAUGGCUCCUGCACAUCUCGGCCUGGAAACCUCCGCCUCCAAGAAGCCAUCCAUGAUGCCUCCGCUGACCCUGUGCUUCCCCAGCAUGGGCCCAUCACUCAGGACCGUGGCCUGCAUCCGUUUGUCUUCCCUGCCCGAAUGUGAACUCGGGAGGCCAGAACCGAGUCUGGUCACUCACCAGGGCCCGGGCCUCGGUUGGUACUCAAUAAAUGCUUGUGCGACGAGCAAA